CGCGUAGGCGGUGUCUUAAGUGGGAUGUGCAAUCCCCGGGCUUAACCUGGGAACUGCAUCCCAGACUGGGACGCUGGAGUGCUGGAGAGGGUGGUGGAAUUCCACGUGUAGCGGUGAAAUGCGUAGAGAUGUGGAGGAACACCAGUGGCGAAGGCGGCCACCUGGACAGCAACUGACGCUGAGGCGCGAAAGUGUGGGUAGCAAACAGGAUUAGAUACCCUGGUAGUCCACGCUGUAAACGAUGAACACUUGGUGUGGCGGGAGUUGACCCCUGCCGUGCCGUAGCUAACGCGAUAAGUGUUCCGCCUGGGGAGUACGGUCGCAAGGCUGAA
This 332-nucleotide ribosomal RNA is filed under the name uncultured bacterium. Its description in RNAcentral is "bacterial SSU rRNA". It matches the Rfam family "Bacterial small subunit ribosomal RNA", at positions 568 to 898 of the family's 1533-position model. The record is from RNAcentral.